This 253-nucleotide ribosomal RNA is filed under the name uncultured bacterium. RNAcentral describes it as "partial 16S ribosomal RNA". It matches the Rfam family "Bacterial small subunit ribosomal RNA", at positions 524 to 776 of the family's 1533-position model. The record is from RNAcentral.
UACGGAGGGGGCUAGCGUUGUUCGGAAUUACUGGGCGUAAAGCGCACGUAGGCGGCUUUGCAAGUUAGAGGUGAAAGCCCGGGGCUCAACUCCGGAAUUGCCUUUAAAACUGCAUCGCUAGAAUUGUGGAGAGGUAAGUGGAAUUCCGAGUUUAGAGGUGAAAUGCGUAGAUAUCUGGAGGAACACCGGUGGCGAAGGCGGCAUCCUGGACCGGCAUUGACGCUGAGGCGCGAAAGCCAGGGGAGCAAACGGG